AAUAGGCUUGGUCCUGGCCUUUCUAUUAGCUCUUAGCAGGAUUACACAUGCAAGCAUCCCCGCUCCAGUGAAGACGCCCUAUAAAUCAUCAUGACCAAGAGGAGCAAGCAUCAAGCACGCACACGCAGCUCAAAACGCUUUGCCUAGCCACACCCCCACGGGAGACAGCAGUGACAAGUAUUUAGCAAUAAACGAAAGUUCAACUAAGCCAUGCUAUAUUUAGGGUUGGUCAAUUUCGUGCCAGCCACCGCGGUUACACGAUUAACCCCAGCUAAUAGGGAUCGGCGUAGAGGGUGUUUAAGAUCUAACAUAAUAAAGCUAAACUCCACCUAAACUGUAAAACCCUAGCUAAUGUAAAAUAAACUACGAAAGUGGCUUUAAAGCUUCUGAACACACAAUAGCCAAGACCCAAACUGGGAUUAGACACCCCACUAUGCUUGGCCCUAAACCUCAGUAGUUAGAUAACAAAACUACUCGCCAGAAUACUACAAGCAACAGCUUAAAACUCAAAGGACUUGACGGUGCUUUACAUCCCCCUAGAGGAGCCUGUUCCGUAAUCGAUAAACCCCGAUCCACCCUACCCUCUCUUGCUCAGCCUAUAUACCGCCAUCUUCAGCAAACCCUAAUGAGGGCCACAAAGUGAGCGCAAACGCCGUCGCCGCGAAUACGUUAGGUCAAGGUGUAGCCCAUGAGACGGUAAAAAAUGGGCUACAUUUUCUAUUUCAGAAAACCCACGAAAACCCUUAUGAAACUUAGGGGUCCAAGGAGGAUUUAGCAGUAAAUUAAGAAUAGAGUGCUUAAUUGAACCAGGCCAUAAAGCGCGCACACACCGCCCGUCACUCCUCUCAAAUAUAUUUAAGGAAUAUCCUAACUAAACGCCCUAAUAUUUAUAUAGAGAGGAUAAGUCGUAACAUGGUAAGCGUACUGGAAGGUGCGCUUGGAUAAAU
This 947-nucleotide non-coding RNA is filed under the name Macaca fascicularis (crab-eating macaque). RNAcentral describes it as "12S ribosomal RNA". It matches the Rfam family "Bacterial small subunit ribosomal RNA". Lineage: Eukaryota; Metazoa; Chordata; Mammalia; Primates; Cercopithecidae. The record is from RNAcentral.